RNAcentral lists this ribosomal RNA (783 nucleotides) under Cambarus aculabrum. RNAcentral describes it as "eukaryotic LSU rRNA". The stretch from base 308 to 783 matches the Rfam family "Eukaryotic large subunit ribosomal RNA", at positions 665 to 926 of the family's 3401-position model. RNAcentral also lists the same sequence under 2 other names. Lineage: Eukaryota; Metazoa; Arthropoda; Malacostraca; Decapoda; Cambaridae. The record is from RNAcentral.
GGGGACGUAACAAAGCGACCCAGGAAUGCUUGGGCGUGCCUCCACCCACGCCGGCGUCGGCGGGCGUAUUUCGCCUCACAGUAGGUCGCCGCGACCCGUUGCUUUUGGGGACGUCGAAGGCCCGGACGGAUUGGUACCCUACCGGCUGGGGAUGCGGCUUCGGCUUCUCCUCUUGUCCGGUGGGCGAAACCGCCGGUGUCCUGGCUGCCCUGCGACGGUCGUAGAGACGAGCCCUCCCCAUUCGUGGGGGGCGGCUCUCGCGGCGUGCAAAAGGUCGGUGAUCCACCCGACCCGUCUUGAAACACGGACCAAGGAGUCUAACAUGUGUGCGAGUCAGUGGGCGCACUAAACCCAGAGGCGUAAUGAAAGUGACACGGGUUCGGCUGUCGCCUCGUGUGGCAGCCGGACUCAGGGCCGAUCCCUCACCGGUUGCCCUCGCCUCUCUCCCGCGUCUCGGUAAGCCGGGUGAGCUAUUUUCCCCGGCCAAUGCUGCGGGGCUCGGGGGGAGGCGGGGUGCGAUGGUGUCCGUAAACAAGAGCCUGCUGUUGCAGGGGGGCGCAGGCCCGGGACUUGCCAAGACGCCGCGAGACUGUCACUUUGCUGUGAGGCUCCAGGGCCGAUCAGCGGGUCAUGCGUGCAGUCGGCAAGUACCAUGAGCAGACAUGUUGGGACCCGAAAGAUGGUGAACUAUGCCUGGCCAGGAUGAAGCCAGAGGAAACUCUGGUGGAGGUCCGUAGCGAUUCUGACGUGCAAAUCGAUCGUCGGAGCUGGGUAUAGGGGCGA